AGUGAACGCUGGCGGUAGGCCUAACACAUGCAAGUCGAACGGCAGCACAGUAAGAGCUUGCUCUUACGGGUGGCGAGUGGCGGACGGGUGAGGAAUACAUCGGAAUCUACUUUUUCGUGGGGGAUAACGUAGGGAAACUUACGCUAAUACCGCAUACGACCUACGGGUGAAAGCAGGGGAUCUUCGGACCUUGCGCGAUUGAAUGAGCCGAUGUCGGAUUAGCUAGUUGGCGGGGUAAAGGCCCACCAAGGCGACGAUCCGUAGCUGGUCUGAGAGGAUGAUCAGCAACACUGGACCUGAGACACGGUCCAGCCUCCUACGGGAGGCAGAAGUGGGGAAUAUUGGACAAGGGGCGCAAGCCUGAUCCAGCCAGACCGCGUGGGUGAAGAAGGCCUUCGGGUUGUAAAGCCCUUUUGUUGGGAAAGAAAAGCAGCAGGUUAAUACCCCGCUGUUCUGACGGUACCCAAAGAAUAAGCACCGGCUAACUUCGU
This 491-nucleotide ribosomal RNA is filed under the name uncultured bacterium. RNAcentral's name for it is "partial 16S ribosomal RNA". It matches the Rfam family "Bacterial small subunit ribosomal RNA", at positions 29 to 506 of the family's 1533-position model. The record is from RNAcentral.